RNAcentral lists this ribosomal RNA (273 nucleotides) under uncultured prokaryote. Its description in RNAcentral is "partial 16S ribosomal RNA". It matches the Rfam family "Bacterial small subunit ribosomal RNA", at positions 524 to 796 of the family's 1533-position model. The record is from RNAcentral.
UACGUAGGGAGCAAGCGUUGUCCGGAAUUACUGGGCGUAAAGGGCGCGUAGGCGGGGUUAUAAGUUAGGUGUGAAAACGUAGGGCUUAACUUUACGAUUGCACUUAAAACUGUAAUUCUUGAGUACAGGAGAGGAAAGUGGAAUUCCUAGUGUAGCGGUGAAAUGCGUAGAUAUUAGGAGGAACACCAGUGGCGAAGGCGACUUUCUGGACUGUAACUGACGCUGAGGCGCGAAAGCGUGGGGAGUGAACGGGAUUAGAUACCCCGGUAGUCC